ACCGCGGACGCCGGCUCCUCAAGGAGAUCUUCCUCGACCUCAUUGGCAAGGUGACGCCUCCUGGCCAUGGCUGGUGGCUGAGGUGUCGUCUCCACCGCGAGGGCGGUGCUUGGUAGGCGCCAUGGAGCGGAGCUUCCUCUGCCCGCCCAAGACGCCAUGGAUCUUGUGCUCCUCAAGCUCCUUCUUCCUCCACCACAAGGACAAGCAGUAGCAGCAGCAUCAAGGAACCGACGGAGGAGGAGGAGGACCACCUACGCCCCCUUGAUGGCCAACCGCCACGACCUCAUCUCUUCUCUUGUCUUCAUCAACACCAAGGACAACCCAACAACCCCCAUCAAGCAAGCAAGCAAAGCUACCAUCUUCAAUCUCCAUCACCAAUCCCCACCAAAACCUCAGAGUCAGAGCUGCAGCAUUCGGAAUUAG
Long non-coding RNA from Triticum dicoccoides, 423 nucleotides. RefSeq lists it as uncharacterized. The record is from RefSeq and is a predicted model, not a curated record. Lineage: Eukaryota; Viridiplantae; Streptophyta; Magnoliopsida; Poales; Poaceae. The transcript has 3 exons.